Molecule: long non-coding RNA, 231 nt
Organism: Asparagus officinalis (garden asparagus)
Lineage: Eukaryota; Viridiplantae; Streptophyta; Magnoliopsida; Asparagales; Asparagaceae
Exons: 4
Source: RefSeq, a predicted model, not a curated record
AUGGAGUUGUUGAACAAGUAUACAAGUGAUAUGUUGAUAGAGGAACAAAGUGAGGCUAAGGACAUGCUUAACAUCAAGAGUCGUAGAAGUAAUCACGUUGGAUAUGCACUUCAUCGUCUACAGUUUCCUCAGACUCCAACUGGGGAAAAGGACAAUGGACGAGUUGUGUUCAAAGUGACGUCUUUUAUAUGAAUAAGAGGAAUUUUCAUAGAACAAGGCCGGCGCUUGUAA